This 468-nucleotide ribosomal RNA is filed under the name uncultured bacterium. RNAcentral describes it as "partial 16S ribosomal RNA". It matches the Rfam family "Bacterial small subunit ribosomal RNA", at positions 28 to 507 of the family's 1533-position model. The record is from RNAcentral.
GACGAACGCUGGCGGCGUGCUUAACACAUGCAAGUCGAACGGACAGGCCCUGCUUUUGUGGGGUGCUCGAGUGGCGAACGGGUGAGUAACACGUGAGUAACCUGCCCUUGACUUUGGGAUAACUUCAGGAAACUGGGGCUAAUACCGGAUAGGAGCUCCUGCUGCAUGGUGGGGGUUGGAAAGUUUCGGCGGUUGGGGAUGGACUCGCGGCUUAUCAGCUUGUUGGUGGGGUAGUGGCUUACCAAGGCUUUGACGGGUAGCCGGCCUGAGAGGGUGACCGGCCACAUUGGGACUGAGAUACGGCCCAGACGCCUACGGGAGGCAGAAGGGGGGAAUAUUGCGCAAUGGGCGGAAGCCUGAUGCAGCAACGCCGCGUGCGGGAUGACGGCCUUCGGGUUGUAAACCGCUGUCGCCUGUGACGAAGCGUGAGUGACGGUAAUGGGUAAAGAAGCACCGGCUAACUACGUG